UGCAUUCAAAGAACAGUGUGACAGAAAUUCACUACCUGGCACUGUUGGUUUUCUUAGCUUUGGUGCCUGGUAAGCCUGGUAUUUCUAUUGAUACAGUU
Molecule: small nucleolar RNA, 98 nt
Filed under: Nannospalax galili (Upper Galilee mountains blind mole rat)
Lineage: Eukaryota; Metazoa; Chordata; Mammalia; Rodentia; Spalacidae
Description: Small nucleolar RNA SNORA8 (ENSNGAG00000004639.1)
Rfam family: Small nucleolar RNA SNORA8
About the family: ACA8 is a member of the H/ACA class of snoRNA that guide the sites of modification of uridines to pseudouridines.
Source: RNAcentral